AACGAACGCUGGCGGCAUGCCUAACACAUGCAAGUCGAACGAGACCUUCGGGUCUAGUGGCGCACGGGUGCGUAACGCGUGGGAACCUGCCCUUAGGUUCGGAAUAACUCCCCGAAAGGGGUGCUAAUACCGGUUAAUGUCUUCGGACCAAAGAUUUAUCGCCUUCGGAUGGGCCCGCGUUGGAUUAGCUAGUUGGUAGGGUAAAAGCCUACCAAGGCGACGAUCCAUAGCUGGUCUGAGAGGAUGAUCAGCCACACUGGGACUGAGACACGGCCCAGACUCCUACGGGAGGCAGCAGUGGGGAAUAUUGGACAAUGGGCGAAAGCCUGAUCCAGCAAUGCCGCGUGAGUGAUGAAGGCCUUAGGGUUGUAAAGCUCUUUUACCCGGGAUGAUAAUGACAGUACCGGGAGAAUAAGCUCCGGCUAACUCCGUG
This 433-nucleotide ribosomal RNA is filed under the name uncultured bacterium. RNAcentral's name for it is "partial 16S ribosomal RNA". It matches the Rfam family "Bacterial small subunit ribosomal RNA", at positions 29 to 507 of the family's 1533-position model. The record is from RNAcentral.